Molecule: transfer RNA, 82 nt
Filed under: Minisyncoccota bacterium
Lineage: Bacteria; Bacillati; Minisyncoccota
Description: tRNA-Leu
Rfam family: tRNA
About the family: Transfer RNA (tRNA) molecules are approximately 80 nucleotides in length. Their secondary structure includes four short double-helical elements and three loops (D, anti-codon, and T loops).
Source: RNAcentral
GGGCGGAUGGCGAAAUUGGCAGACGCGCCAGCCUUAGGAGCUGGUCCCGCAAGGGGUGGAGGUUCAAGUCCUCUUCCGCCCA